This 465-nucleotide ribosomal RNA is filed under the name Vibrio alginolyticus. Its description in RNAcentral is "bacterial SSU rRNA". It matches the Rfam family "Bacterial small subunit ribosomal RNA", at positions 213 to 671 of the family's 1533-position model. Lineage: Bacteria; Pseudomonadati; Pseudomonadota; Gammaproteobacteria; Vibrionales; Vibrionaceae. The record is from RNAcentral.
UCUCGCGUCAGGAUAUGCCUAGGUGGGAUUAGCUAGUUGGUGAGUAAGGGCUCACCAAGGCGACGAUCCCUAGCUGGUCUGAGAGGAUGAUCAGCCACACUGGAACUGAGACACGGUCCAGACUCCUACGGGAGGCAGCAGUGGGGAAUAUUGCACAAUGGGCGCAAGCCUGAUGCAGCCAUGCCGCGUGUGUGAAGAAGGCCUUCGGGUUGUAAAGCACUUUCAGUCGUGAGGAAGGUAGUGUAGUUAAUAGCUGCAUUAUUUGACGUUAGCGACAGAAGAAGCACCGGCUAACUCCGUGCCAGCAGCCGCGGUAAUACGGAGGGUGCGAGCGUUAAUCGGAAUUACUGGGCGUAAAGCGCAUGCAGGUGGUUUGUUAAGUCAGAUGUGAAAGCCCGGGGCUCAACCUCGGAAUAGCAUUUGAAACUGGCAGACUAGAGUACUGUAGAGGGGGGUAGAAUUUCA